Molecule: long non-coding RNA, 941 nt
Organism: Hyposmocoma kahamanoa
Lineage: Eukaryota; Metazoa; Arthropoda; Insecta; Lepidoptera; Cosmopterigidae
Exons: 3
Source: RefSeq, a predicted model, not a curated record
CAACUAGUGCCACAGUGGUUGUUUGGUAAUUGUUGAUUGAUUGCUUUUUCAAAUUACAUUGUUAUUUCAUCUCCUUAAUCCGUGUGUAUAACUGCGAUGGUGCGAGUUCUCAUUUUAUUGGACUAUUUAAAUGGAAAAGAGAGUGUUACAUGGAGGAACGCUACCAUUCUUCGGUGGAGAAUCCGAAAUAAUGCCAUCGGCAGGGCCUUUGAGAUUUCGGACUUCCAAGUUCAGGUCUCAUAGGUUAUCCAAGGCAUUGUUCAAAAGGCCAUGAAUUGACUCCUCUCUUGUCUCGUCGACAAAGGACAAAUAAAAUUUCCGUGGAAAGUAAGGGGACUCGCAAUAUCCAUUAUGUUUGUGGCUAUUAACACCAGUCUCAAACGCUGUUCCUGACAGUGCAGAAGAAUAUUAUAUUGAUUUUCACUGUAGAGCCAGAAACACCAUUGAACGGGGCAUUGGGGAAUUGAAAGCGAUGUGAAGAUUUUUGCUUUCACAGAGUUUCGCAUUAUCAUGAUAGCACUGUUACAAAAAUUAUGAAAGCCUGCUCGGUAUCACAUAACAUUGUCAAUGGAGCUACACUUACACCAAGAAGAGUCUACCAAAGAUUCUACGAGGCAAAUUCCUGCAAUAACAGCUCUGAAUCAUCCCAGUUCGAGUUAGAAAGAGGCCACAGUCAAAAGGCAAUAAUAAUACUGAGGUUAUGGAGAAGUAGAUAAGAAUGUUAAGCCAUUGGUCCUCAGAAAAAUUAUGUAUGUAUAUGUACACAGCACUAUGCACACAAUUUUAUAUUGUAUUACUAGAUAGUUAGACAGUGUUCUUCUUGUUCCAUAUAAUAUCAAAAUUUGACUUGUUCGUUAAAAGCACUAGACAGUAAGUAGUUAGUAAAGUAUUUUCUUGUAUUAUUAAGAGCUAAAGAUUCAUGCGGCCUAUGGGUCAACUAA